This 654-nucleotide ribosomal RNA is filed under the name uncultured bacterium. RNAcentral's name for it is "bacterial SSU rRNA". It matches the Rfam family "Bacterial small subunit ribosomal RNA", at positions 202 to 842 of the family's 1533-position model. The record is from RNAcentral.
AAAAGGCGGCGUAAGCUGUCGCUAAAGGAUGGACCCGCGGUGCAUUAGCUAGUUGGUAAGGUAACGGCUUACCAAGGCGACGAUGCAUAGCCGAGUUGAGAGACUGAUCGGCCACAUUGGGACUGAGACACGGCCCAAACUCCUACGGGAGGCAGCAGUAGGGAAUCUUCCACAAUGGGCGAAAGCCUGAUGGAGCAACGCCGCGUGAGUGAAGAAGGUUUUCGGAUCGUAAAGCUCUGCUGUUGGUGAAGAAGGAUAGAGGUAGUAACUGGCCCCUAUUUGACGGUAAUCAACCAGAAAGUCACGGCUAACUACGUGCCAGCAGCCGCGGUAAUACGUAGGUGGCAAGCGUUGUCCGGAUUUAUUGGGCGUAAAGCGAGCGCAGGCGGAAAGAUAAGUCUGAUGUGAAAGCCCCCGGCUUAACCGAGGAAUUGCAUCGGAAACUGUGUUUCUUGAGUGCAGAAGAGGAGAGUGGAACUCCAUGUGUAGCGGUGGAAUGCGUAGAUAUAUGGAAGAACACCAGUGGCGAAGGCGGCUCUCUGGUCUGUAACUGACGCUGAGGCUCGAAAGCAUGGGUAGCGAACAGGAUUAGAUACCCUGGUAGUCCAUGCCGUAAACGAUGAGUGCUAAGUGUUGGGAGGUUUCCGCCUCUCA